Molecule: long non-coding RNA, 965 nt
Organism: Equus caballus (horse)
Lineage: Eukaryota; Metazoa; Chordata; Mammalia; Perissodactyla; Equidae
Source: Ensembl
CACACGUGUGCGUGUGCACACACACACGCACGCAUUCACAGGUGUGGGCUUAGAAAAUUGAGAUAAAUGAAAUAAGCUAAGUUCUAACAUGUGAUUUUGUUCUCAUAGAGAGCCUGACUCUAUGUCUGAGUUCUGGGUCUCUCCUCUGUGCUUCCGUCACCCCCUGGACUCCUGGCAUGGCACUUCUCACGCUGGGGAAGAGAAGCUGGAGGACUGCCCUAGUAAUGGCCCAGGGAUUUAUUCCAUGGAACAUAUUGACUGUGUUUGAGAAGGUUUUCCCGACUCAACUGGAUCUAGAUUAGCUGGUGUCUCUGCGUUCCGCAGCAGGCAGUGGCAUCUGCAACACAGGACUCAUCUAUUUUGCCUCCUCUACUAGACUUUGAGCUUCUUAUGUCAGAGAUACUCGUCUUCCUCAUCUUUGUUUUCCCACUGGCUGGAGCAGGGACACAAAGUUGGCUUUCAAGAAAUGCUUUCAUCUUCACGAUUAUUCUGAGACAUAUUACCCUCCCUAAAAAGGAGUGACACCAGAGGAGGUGGGGCUUAAGGAGCUCUGGGGAUCUGCAGUGUCAUCUUCAAUCAGUCCAAUGCUGAUUCUGUGCCCUAUUUUGGAUAUUGUUUUUGAGAUCCAACUGCCCCUCUUGAACCCUAUCUGCAUCUACAUCUUGUUUCCUAUUCAUUAGGCCAAUCACAGUAGAAUACAGACCUUGUCUCCUCCAUAAUUCCCAUUUCCAGAAACCAGAUGCUGUCUCUGAAUCCCAGCCUGGGGAGUGGAGCCAGUGGGCCUCUACGGUGGGUGUUGGAUGUGGCCGUCCUGGGAGGACAUUACCACCUGUCCCUGGAGGAGAGGCACUGGGUGCUCCCUUGGCCUUCAACCUGAGAUCUCCUUUGCCUCUAACUGUCUCUGAGACUUCCAGCACCUGCCUGUUAUCGUCUCCUUGGAUGCUGUGUUUGGUCUGAUAGACGGG